GACGAACGCUGGCGGCGUGCUUAACACAUGCCAGUCGAACGGAAAGGCCCUGCUUUUGUGGGGUGCUCGAGUGGCGAACGGGUGAGUAACACGUGAGUAACCUGCCCUUGACUUUGGGAUAACUUCAGGAAACUGGGGCUAAUACCGGAUAGGAGCUCCUGCUGCAUGGUGGGGGUUGGAAAGUUUCGGCGGUUGGGGAUGGACUCGCGGCUUAUCAGCUUGUUGGUGGGGUAGUGGCUUACCAAGGCUUUGACGGGUAGCCGGCCUGAGAGGGUGACCGGCCACAUUGGGACUGAGAUACGGCCCAGACUCCUACGGGAGGCAGCAGUGGGGAAUAUUGCACAAGGGGCGGAAGCCGGAUGCAGCAACGCCGCGUGCGGGAUGACGGCCUUCGGGUUGUAAACCGCUUUCGCCUGUGACGAAGCGUGAGUGACGGUAAUGGGUAAAGAAGCACCGGCUAACUACGU
This 467-nucleotide ribosomal RNA is filed under the name uncultured bacterium. Its description in RNAcentral is "partial 16S ribosomal RNA". It matches the Rfam family "Bacterial small subunit ribosomal RNA", at positions 28 to 506 of the family's 1533-position model. The record is from RNAcentral.